This 142-nucleotide unclassified non-coding RNA is filed under the name fungal sp. RNAcentral describes it as "partial internal transcribed spacer region". The stretch from base 1 to 46 matches the Rfam family "Eukaryotic small subunit ribosomal RNA", at positions 1786 to 1831 of the family's 1831-position model. The record is from RNAcentral. Lineage: Eukaryota; Fungi.
AAGUCGUAACAAGGUUUCCGUAGGUGAACCUGCGGAAGGAUCAUUAUAGAAAAUUAUAUACACAUGGUUGAGCACAUGACUUUAAGCAAACAACAAUCAAAUAUAGAAAUUAAAACUUUCAACAACGGAUCUCUUGGUUCUC